RNAcentral lists this ribosomal RNA (499 nucleotides) under uncultured bacterium. Its description in RNAcentral is "partial 16S ribosomal RNA". It matches the Rfam family "Bacterial small subunit ribosomal RNA", at positions 28 to 507 of the family's 1533-position model. The record is from RNAcentral.
GACGAACGCUGGCGGCGUGCCUAAUACAUGCAAGUCGAGCGAAGUUUUUCUGGUGCUUGCACCGGAAAAACUUAGCGGCGAACGGGUGAGUAACACGUAAAGAACCUGCCUCAUAGACUGGGACAACUAUUGGAAACGAUAGCUAAUACCGGAUAACAGCAUUAACUGCAUGGUUGAUGUUUAAAAGUCGGUUUUGCUAACACUAUGAGAUGGCUUUGCGGUGCAUUAGCUAGUUGGUGGGGUAAAGGCCUACCAAGGCGACGAUGCAUAGCCGACCUGAGAGGGUGAUCGGCCACACUGGGACUGAGACACGGCCCAGACUCCUACGGGAGGCAGCAGUAGGGAAUCUUCCGCAAUGGGCGAAAGCCUGACGGAGCAACGCCGCGUGAGUGAAGAAGGAUUUCGGUUCGUAAAGCUCUGUUGUUAGGGAAGAAUGAUUGUGUAGUAACUAUACACAGUAGAGACGGUACCUAACCAGAAAGCCACGGCUAACUACGUG